RNAcentral lists this ribosomal RNA (253 nucleotides) under uncultured bacterium. RNAcentral's name for it is "partial 16S ribosomal RNA". It matches the Rfam family "Bacterial small subunit ribosomal RNA", at positions 524 to 776 of the family's 1533-position model. The record is from RNAcentral.
UACGUAGGCAGCAAGCGUUGUUCGGAGUUACUGGGCGUAAAGGGUGCGUAGGCGGCCCUCCAAGUCGGGCGUGAAAGCCCACGGCUCAACCGUGGAAUUGCGCUCGAGACUGAAGGGCUCGAGGACGGGAGAGGAUGGUGGAAUUCCCAGUGUAGAGGUGAAAUUCGUAGAUAUUAGGAAGAACACCGGUGGCGAAGGCGGCCCACUGGAUCGGUACUGACGCUGAGGUGCGAAAGCGUGGGGAGCAAACAGG